UUUGUACGGCUGUUACAGGGGAUCGUGAAACAGCGUCGGAUACGGCCGUUGCAGGGAGUAGUGGAGCAGGGGGCCGCGGCGUGCCUCAGGGGAACAGUUUGUUGUUGUCAGAGAUUGCCGACUCGGGGUCGGAUUGCUGGAUCAAGGGGCAGCCGACUCGGGGUCGGGCUGCGGAGCCGAAGAUAUCCGACCCGAGGUCGGAUUGCUGGAUCAAGGGGCAGCCGUAGUCUUCCCGGGCGCGCGUGCCGGUCACGUGGGGCAUGGUGGCUAAGUUCCCCUGUAACAGUAGCCCCCCACUUCCGAGCCUGGAACCAGGAGGGGAACG
This 325-nucleotide long non-coding RNA is filed under the name Phoenix dactylifera (date palm). Its description in RNAcentral is "long non-coding RNA (PDAC_LNC014658)". Lineage: Eukaryota; Viridiplantae; Streptophyta; Magnoliopsida; Arecales; Arecaceae. The record is from RNAcentral.